This 2518-nucleotide unclassified non-coding RNA is filed under the name Hevea brasiliensis (rubber tree). The record is from RNAcentral. Lineage: Eukaryota; Viridiplantae; Streptophyta; Magnoliopsida; Malpighiales; Euphorbiaceae.
AGGGGUAAGGAGGCUCUUAGAGAAGGACUUGGGAUUGCAGAAGUAUGCACUGGAUGUGCACAAGAGAUUUGUUAAGCAAUGUCUGGUCGAGUGCUUAGAAGGUGCUGUUAAUGACAAUGUUUCCAAGGAUUCUGGGGAAACUGAGGAGAAACACGCCUGUUCAACAAAAAGAGAAGCAAUAGAAUCACCUGAAGGGCAUGAAUCUAAAAAUGACAGAAAAGAACCUUAUUCUGAAGAUGAGCAGAAAAUGGAAGACUCUCCUGUGAUGGGCCUUUUGACAGGGAAAAAACCACCCAAAUCAGAAACCAAGGAAACUCUAAUUGAUAAGAAUAAAGAAGUUCCAAGCGAAAGCAGCAUAAAGAAAGCCUUGUUGAAAAGAGCUUCCUAUAUCAAAGUUAAUUCUGAAAAAGUUACAAUGGCUGGACUUCGUCGACUUUUAGAGGAAGAUUUAAGACUUGAAAAACAUGCACUUGAUCCCUACAAGACACUUAUAAGCAAGCAGUUAGAUGAGGUAUUACAAUCUUCUGAAGUUCCUGAACCUAAGAAGAAAAAUAUAAAAACUAAAUCUCAAGGCAAAGCAUCUAAAAAGAUGAGCAGUGAAGGUAGUUCAGAUUCUUCGGAUCGUGAAAGUGAUGAGGAGGAUGAAGAAGUAAACCCAAAGAAGAAAAUUGGUCCAAAGCAAAAGGUGCUAAAUUCUGAGGGGACUAAAAAACGGAAGAGGCUUGAAAAGGAAUCCGAAGUAUCUGGCAAGAAGCAGAUAAAGCCUGUGGAAACAGUAGCAGAGGACAAUAGUGAUGCAGACGACAGUGGAAAUGCCUCUGAAGAUGGCCAUUCUCAAUCAUCAGCUGAAAAACCAGUCAAGAAAAGAGAAGCUUCAACUCCAGCAUAUGGGAAACAUGUUGAGCAUCUAAAAUCUGUAAUAAAAUCCUGUGGGAUGAGUGUGCCUCCUGUAGUUUACAAGCAAUUUACAAAAAGGUUAAGCAGGUUCCUGAGAAUAAACGUGAGGCCCAGCUAAUAAAGGAGUUGGAGGAGAUACUUUCUAAAGAAGGAUUGUCAUCAAACCCUUCUGAAAAAGAAAUUAAGGAAGUCAGAAAGAGAAAGGCAAGAGCAAAAGAACUUGAGGGCAUUGACACAAGUAAUAUUGUAUCAAGUUCACGUAGAAGGUCCACAACGAGUUAUGUGCCUCCUCCAAAGCCCAAAAUACCAGCUGAAAGUGAAAGUGAUAGUGAUGAUGCUGAUGAUACUGAUGAGGAUGACGAUGACGAUAAUGAGGAAGAAGAAAAUGAUGAAGAGGAUGAAGGAGAUAAUGAUGGGGAUGAUGAUAGCCAGAGUGAUGAGGAGCAUGGGGAGGACAGCGAUUGAAUCCUGGAUGAGCUGACCCGCAAGUUGAGUUAUAAUAGAUACCUUAGCAGUUAAAGAGUUUAUGGAUGUAUCAUCUGUUAUAAACAUGUUUAGUUCUAUUUUUUUCUACUGUCUUGGACUCUUGGUUGUAGGACCAUAUCUCUUUUAGGGAGAAUCCGUUUGUAGCGUAGGAUGUCACUUGUAGCUGAUUUGGCGACUCAUUGAAGGGUUUCUUCCCCUGACAAAAAAGGGUAGCUUCAAAUAUAAACCAAUAGUUGUGUAUCUUGAUGGAUGUGAUGUUUUUGGUUUCAGUAAACCAUCCAGGUCUUUAUGAGUUUUCAGAGCAACAUUCCUCUGGUUAUACAUAGGGCCAAUCCAUCUUUAUUCAUGAAAAAAUAGUUCCAGUUCAGCUCAGAGCUGAAUAAUUAAGUUCCAUAAGUGUAUCUUGUGUCAAACAAUAAUAUAUCGCAAUUACAGUAUCUUUUUGGAUGACUGCUCCAUUUCAACGAAUCUAAGAAUAUAAGCCUAAUGUUCAUAGCAUUAUGAGGUCAGGCUCCCUCUCUGAAAGAACGCGCCUCACUUCACUUCCAAGAUCCAUUACAUGUUUGUCCUUACAUCCAAUUUGAAGAAGGGCUUUUUCAAGUUGGAAAAGAUAGUCUUUAUUGGGUCCUGAAGGGCCUUCAGCAUGUACAAUUUGUUUGGCUAUCUCUUCAAGAGGUGCAGGCCCCAAGUAAUUUUGGUUAUGCUUCUUGUCUGGUGAUCCUAUAUAUACCAUUACUCCUGAAACAGCUGGAGUUGUAGCUGCGGCCUCAGUGAACAAAUCAAGAUAAGCCUUCUGAUCAUACUGCUUCUCCCUCACUUCCAAAUAAUUUAUUGCAGUUUCUUCAUCUUCCUUAUUGGAGAUCUUGUAAGCAACUCCCCAACAGACUUCCCCAUCCGCAGGUUCUAAAGUGACAGUUCUUCCAGGAUACUCUGGAGUCCCCCUAUGGUCAGUGCUGCCUUGGUAGAAGACACGGCGAUAACCUUUGAUGAAACCAACAAGGCGAUCAUCGUAGUUAAAGCCUGCUUUCCAUAUUAGAGAACCGUACCCAAAUACCCACAUCUCCCUCCAGAGGAUGAAGCUAUUAGGAAGAAGAGCAGAGACAGGGAGUAGCACGGCACCCCAAUGACCAAGAAA